UACGUACAAGCAGUGGGAGCCCCACCACUAAGCCAGUGGUGAACUCCACAUACGCAUCCUUUGCUGAGGAUACGGUUAACGGAGCGAAAGCGACGUUCAACCUCAAAAGAAGCAGAGGGGGCUUAGUGGUGGGGUGACUGCGUACCUUUUGUAUAAUGGGUCAGCGACUUAUAUUCUGUAGCAAGGUUAACCGAAUAGGGGAGCCGGAGGGAAACCGAGUCUUAAUUGGGCGUUAAGUUGCAGGGUA
RNAcentral lists this ribosomal RNA (247 nucleotides) under Salmonella enterica subsp. enterica serovar Schwarzengrund. RNAcentral describes it as "partial 23S ribosomal RNA". It matches the Rfam family "Bacterial large subunit ribosomal RNA", at positions 561 to 709 of the family's 2925-position model. Lineage: Bacteria; Pseudomonadati; Pseudomonadota; Gammaproteobacteria; Enterobacterales; Enterobacteriaceae. The record is from RNAcentral.